Molecule: ribosomal RNA, 755 nt
Filed under: Bacillus licheniformis
Lineage: Bacteria; Bacillati; Bacillota; Bacilli; Caryophanales; Bacillaceae
Description: bacterial SSU rRNA
Rfam family: Bacterial small subunit ribosomal RNA
Source: RNAcentral
GGCAUGCUAUACAUGCAAGUCGAGCGGACCGACGGGAGCUUGCUCCCUGAUGUCAGCGGCGGACGGGUGAGUAACACGUGGGUAACCUGCCUGUAAGACUGGGAUAACUCCGGGAAACCGGGGCUAAUACCGGAUGCUUGAUUGAACCGCAGGUUCAAUUAUAAAAGGUGGCUUUUAGCUACCACUUACAGAUGGACCCGCGGCGCAUAGCUAGUUGGUGAGGUAACGGCUCACCAAGGCAACGAUGCGUAGCCGACCUGAGAGGGUGAUCGGCCACACUGGGACUGAGACACGGCCCAGACUCCUACGGGAGGCAGCAGUAGGGAAUCUUCCGCAAUGGACGAAAGUCUGACGGAGCAACGCCGCGUGAGUGAUGAAGGUUUUCGGAUCGUAAAACUCUGUUGUUAGGGAAGAACAAGUACCGUUCGAAUAGGGCGGUACCUUGACGGUACCUAACCAGAAAGCCACGGCUAACUACGUGCCAGCAGCCGCGGUAAUACGUAGGUGGCAAGCGUUGUCCGGAAUUAUUGGGCGUAAAGCGCGCGCAGGCGGUUUCUUAAGUCUGAUGUGAAAGCCCCCGGCUCAACCGGGGAGGGUCAUUGGAAACUGGGGAACUUGAGUGCAGAAGAGGAGAGUGGAAUUCCACGUGUAGCGGUGAAAUGCGUAGAGAUGUGGAGGAACACCAGUGGCGAAGGCGACUCUCUGGUCUGUAACUGACGCUGAGGCGCGAAAGCGUGGGGAGCGAACAGGAUUAG